GGAAAAAACAAGCCCUUCAAUGAUCUAAGCUUCCAAUAUUGAGUCACUUGGCGAGGAUAGUAGAUCUGGCCUCAAUUGAGACGCUGGACAACAAAAGAGCCUGCCACUAUCAGCAUUUUUAAUCCUACUGGUUACUAUUCUCAGAUAAAUAGGCUACCGCUUCUCAAAUCUAGCAAUGCAAACCCCCAACAUAGAUCGUUUCUUCCAAAUCUUCUACAUGCAAUGCAGACUCUAAGAUCUAGCAACACAAAACAAACAAAGCCAAAACUAUCAACAAUCAAAUCGAAAAAUGGGAGGGAGACCUUCACCAAGUUGGACAAAAC
RNAcentral lists this unclassified non-coding RNA (323 nucleotides) under Hevea brasiliensis (rubber tree). The record is from RNAcentral. Lineage: Eukaryota; Viridiplantae; Streptophyta; Magnoliopsida; Malpighiales; Euphorbiaceae.